UCAAUCCUACGGGGGGCAGCAGUGAGGAAUAUUGGUCAAUGGGCGCGAGCCUGAACCAGCCAAGUCGCGUGAGGGAAGACGGUCCUAUGGAUUGUAAACCUCUUUUGUCGGGGAGCAAAAGACGCCACGUGUGGCGUUCCGAGAGUACCCGAAGAAAAAGCAUCGGCUAACUCCGUGCCAGCAGCCGCGGUAAUACGGAGGAUGCGAGCGUUAUCCGGAUUUAUUGGGGUUAAAGGGUGCGCAGGCGGGCUUUUAAGG
This 258-nucleotide ribosomal RNA is filed under the name uncultured bacterium. Its description in RNAcentral is "partial 16S ribosomal RNA". It matches the Rfam family "Bacterial small subunit ribosomal RNA", at positions 333 to 588 of the family's 1533-position model. The record is from RNAcentral.